Molecule: small nucleolar RNA, 87 nt
Organism: Malania oleifera
Lineage: Eukaryota; Viridiplantae; Streptophyta; Magnoliopsida; Santalales; Ximeniaceae
Product: small nucleolar RNA Z159/U59
Exons: 1
Source: RefSeq, a predicted model, not a curated record
GCCUCUUGGGAUGAUUAAAGAAAACUUUCGUUCUUCUGAGGUGAUCCAUCCAUGCGGAAAAUUUGUGGAGACAUGAACUGAAGAGGU